This 201-nucleotide long non-coding RNA is filed under the name Mytilus galloprovincialis (Mediterranean mussel). The record is from RNAcentral. Lineage: Eukaryota; Metazoa; Mollusca; Bivalvia; Mytilida; Mytilidae.
CACAGUCAAAUAAGCAAAAUAUUAUAAGUGCAGUUAUCUGAAAAGCCAUCAUCAUCCUUAUUCUUCCGGAUAUGUUUCCUCGACCAGAUAUAGCCUUAAAAUGCUGAUGCGGGGUAAAGCAAUCACCAAUCAUCAAAAUGGAUGUUUCGCAGAAAUCGUUGACACGACAAAUAUGAAACUGUUAUGUCAGUUGGAUUUUGG